UCUUAGCCCUGAUGGAAGCGGCAUCCUUUUUUGUUGCGAACGCAGCGAAGCGGAGAUCGUGACAAAAAAGAUACAGCGGACAGCAGGUUCCCGG
This 94-nucleotide small RNA is filed under the name Chryseobacterium sp. Leaf394. RNAcentral describes it as "Flavo-1 RNA". It matches the Rfam family "Flavo-1 RNA". The record is from Rfam by way of RNAcentral. Lineage: Bacteria; Pseudomonadati; Bacteroidota; Flavobacteriia; Flavobacteriales; Weeksellaceae.